This 301-nucleotide ribosomal RNA is filed under the name uncultured bacterium. Its description in RNAcentral is "partial 16S ribosomal RNA". It matches the Rfam family "Bacterial small subunit ribosomal RNA", at positions 509 to 807 of the family's 1533-position model. The record is from RNAcentral.
CAGUCGCCACGGUAAUACGUAGGUGGCAAGCGUUGUCCGGAAUUAUUGGGCGUAAAGGGCUCGCAGGCGGUUUCUUAAGUCUGAUGUGAAAGCCCCCGGCUCAACCGGGGAGGGUCAUUGGAAACUGGGAAACUUGAGUGCAGAAGGGGAGAGUGGAAUUCCACGUGUAGCGGUGAAAUGCGUAGAGAUGUGGAGGAACACCAGUGGCGAAGGCGACUCUCUGGUCUGUAACUGACGCUGAGGAGCGAAAGCGUGGGGAGCGAACAGGAUUAGAGACCCGCGUAGUCCCUGUCUCUUAUAC